Molecule: ribosomal RNA, 433 nt
Filed under: uncultured bacterium
Lineage: Bacteria
Description: partial 16S ribosomal RNA
Rfam family: Bacterial small subunit ribosomal RNA
Source: RNAcentral
AACGAACGCUGGCGGCAUGCCUAAUACAUGCAAGUCGAACGAGACCUUCGGGUCUAGUGGCGCACGGGUGCGUAACGCGUGGGAACCUGCCCUUAGGUUCGGAAUAACUCCCCGAAAGGGGUGCCAAUACGGGAUAAUGUCUUCGGCCCAAAGAUUUAUCGACCUUGGAUGUGCCCGCGUUGGAUUAGCUUGUUGGUAGGCUAAAAGCCUACCAAGGCGACGAUCCAUAGCUGGGUUGUGAGGAUGAUCAGCCACACUGGGACUGAGACACGGCCCAGACUCCUACGGGAGGCAGCAGUGGGGGAUGUUGGACCGUGGGCGAAAGCAUGAUCCAGCAAUGCCGCGUGAGUGAUGAAAGCCUUAGGGUUGUAAAGCUCUUGUACCCGGGAUGAUAAUGACAGUACCGGGAGAAUAAGCUCCGGCUAACUCCGUG